Molecule: ribosomal RNA, 516 nt
Filed under: uncultured Actinomycetes bacterium
Lineage: Bacteria; Bacillati; Actinomycetota; Actinomycetes
Description: bacterial SSU rRNA
Rfam family: Bacterial small subunit ribosomal RNA
Source: RNAcentral
GGAUGAGCCCGCGGCCUAUCAGCUUGUUGGUGAGGUAAUGGCUCACCAAGGCGACGACGGGUAGCCGGCCUGAGAGGGCGACCGGCCACACUGGGACUGAGACACGGCCCAGACUCCUACGGGAGGCAGCAGUGGGGAAUAUUGCACAAUGGGCGAAAGCCUGAUGCAGCGACGCCGCGUGAGGGAUGACGGCCUUCGGGUUGUAAACCUCUUUCAGCAGGGAAGAAGCGAAAGUGACGGUACCUGCAGAAGAAGCGCCGGCUAACUACGUGCCAGCAGCCGCGGUAAUACGUAGGGCGCAAGCGUUGUCCGGAAUUAUUGGGCGUAAAGAGCUCGUAGGCGGUCUGUCGCGUCGGAUGUGAAAGCCCGGGGCUUAACCCCGGGUCUGCAUUCGAUACGGGCAGACUAGAGUGUGGUAGGGGAGAUCGGAACUCCUGGUGUAGCGGUGAAAUGCGCAGAUAUCAGGAGGAACACCGGUGGCGAAGGCGGAUCUCUGGGCCAUUACUGACGCUGAGA